Triticum aestivum (bread wheat) is the source of this 994-nucleotide long non-coding RNA. RefSeq lists it as uncharacterized. NCBI's taxonomy places the organism in Eukaryota, Viridiplantae, Streptophyta, Magnoliopsida, Poales, Poaceae. The transcript has 2 exons. The record is from RefSeq and is a predicted model, not a curated record.
GCUCAUCUGUCGUCGCGCCCAGCAUGAGUGUCGCCCCUCGGUUCUCCCUUGUCCAGAACCGGAGAGGAGCCCCUCCCCGUGCUUCUUAUCCUCCCUCGCCUCCAGCACACCGCCGCCAGUCGACGCCCUCGCCGGUGAGACUCCACCGCCGCCCGUCUCGUUCUACUCUUCUCUAUUUUUUCAUUCCUCCCUGGCCUCUCUUUCUUCUCUGGACAUGGCCGUGGAGUUCCAACCCCGCCGCGUCAUGGAUGCCCUGCGCCGCCCUCGUUGGAACCCCUCCAACCACGCCCGGAUCCGGCACCGCGCUGACCGGAUCCGUCGAUUCUCGGUGCCCACGUCGCCCGCCGCCCAUCUCUGGAGCCCCGCAAGUCCUGCCGCAAUCGGCCUCCUGCUCGUGCGAGCACUCGAGCAGAGAGACGAAAGUCAGUGCCCGCUCGGGUCGCGUUGACCGCUGGCCAGCUCGCGUGGGCCCCAUCUCCAUCGACCGCGCCAGUCCACCUCUUCGCCAGCCCACCUCGACUUUAGCCUGGCAGCCCGUCUGCCCCGACUGGCCUCAAGGCCCAAUUUGUGGUCUUCUUGAUAGUUCCCUAUAAGGAUGCGAUUGUGAGGAUUCGUUCGACUACGCUCGUUCGUCUUCUUCAUGGAUUCGGUCUUCUUCCUAACGGGAUUUCAGGCAAGAUGACCAUUACCUUGGAUAUCACUAAUAUCUUUGCUUGCUAGUUGUCUCGAUGCUAUCGCUAUGUCUCGUUACCUACCACUUGUUUGUUAAGCCUCACAAAUUGCCAUGAUACAACCUUUAACCUACACCAUCCCAGCAAAUCAUUGUUUGGCUAUGUUACAACUUUGCUCAACCCCUCUUAUAAGAUUGCUAGUUGCAGGUGCAAUGCAGUUUGUUCCAUGUUGGGACAUGGAUAUGAUGUGAUAUUGUAAUAUUUCUUAUUUAACUAAUGCAUCUAUAUACUCGGUACAGGGUGGAAAGCUCGGCCUUUUGCUU